Molecule: ribosomal RNA, 300 nt
Filed under: Triticum aestivum (bread wheat)
Lineage: Eukaryota; Viridiplantae; Streptophyta; Magnoliopsida; Poales; Poaceae
Description: partial small subunit ribosomal RNA
Source: RNAcentral
AUGUCUGAAAUUGGGGAGAUUAUCGUCGAUAUGGACAAUAAUGAUAACACGGAAAAUCCCGAGGCUCCGGCCGAUGAACCCCCUAUCUUGCAUACUAAAAAGUUUCGAAUCGAUAGUGGUAACAUCAUUGGUAAAGGUGUUAUUCAAGAUUUCUUUACUUGUGCCGGUGCUUUACCUUCCAUGGGUUGUUCUAUUCUUCAUAGAACCAGUAGUCUUGCGGAUGCUAUUGCUAUGCUUGUAGUUGAACUUGAAAGACAAUUUAUGCAUAUGCAUCCUUGCAUAGAAAGAAUUUUCCUAUAA